AUUGAACGCUGGCGGAAUGCUUUACACAUGCAAGUCGAGCGGCAGCGCGGGGCAACCUGGCGGCGAGCGGCGAACGGGUGAGUAACACAUCGGAACGUGCCCAGACGUGGGGGGAUAGCCCGGCGAAAGCCGGAUUAAUACCGCAUACGAUCUGAGGAUGAAAGCGGGGGAUCGCAAGACCUCGCGCGUUUGGAGCGGCCGAUGGCAGAUUAGGUAGUUGGUGGGGUAAAGGCUUACCAAGCCUGCGAUCUGUAGCUGGUCUGAGAGGACGACCAGCCACACUGGAACUGAGACACGGUCCAGACUCCUACGGGAGGCAGCAGUGGGGAAUUUUGGACAAUGGGCGCAAGCCUGAUCCAGCCAUUCCGCGUGAGUGAAGAAGGCCUUCGGGUUGGUUAAAG
RNAcentral lists this ribosomal RNA (401 nucleotides) under uncultured bacterium. Its description in RNAcentral is "bacterial SSU rRNA". It matches the Rfam family "Bacterial small subunit ribosomal RNA", at positions 29 to 430 of the family's 1533-position model. The record is from RNAcentral.